GACAGAGGCCUCGAGCGUUAGGCGGAAUCACUGGGCUUAAAGCGUGUGUAGGCGGAUCGUUAAGUACCUUGUGAAAUCCCACGGCUCAACCGUGGAACGGCUGGGUAUACUGGCGGUCUUGGGCCAUUCAGGGGCGACUGGAACAAGCGGUGGAGCGGUGAAAUGCGUAGAUAUCGCUUGGAACGCCGAAGGUGAACACAGGUCGCUGGGGAUGUGCCGACGCUGAGACACGAAAGCCAGGGGAGCAAACGGG
RNAcentral lists this ribosomal RNA (253 nucleotides) under uncultured bacterium. Its description in RNAcentral is "partial 16S ribosomal RNA". It matches the Rfam family "Bacterial small subunit ribosomal RNA", at positions 524 to 776 of the family's 1533-position model. The record is from RNAcentral.